This 253-nucleotide ribosomal RNA is filed under the name uncultured bacterium. Its description in RNAcentral is "partial 16S ribosomal RNA". It matches the Rfam family "Bacterial small subunit ribosomal RNA", at positions 524 to 776 of the family's 1533-position model. The record is from RNAcentral.
UACGGGGGGGGCAAGCGUUGUUCGGAAUUACUGGGCGUAAAGGGCUCGUAGGCGGCCAACUAAGUCAGACGUGAAAUCCCUCGGCUUAACCGGGGAACUGCAUCUGAUACUGGAUGGCUUGAGAUUGGGAGAGGGAUGCGGAAUUCCAGGUGUAGCGGUGAAAUGCGUAGAUAUCUGGAGGAACACCGGUGGCGAAGGCAGCUCGCUGGGACGGUACUGACGCUGAGACGCGAAAGCGUGGGGAGCAAACAGG